CUCGAGUUUCGGUAAUCUAAGAAUUGGUGGCAUCGGAAGAAAGUGCACUGCGUCCUCAAGCUUUUCAGGUGCAUCGGUGAAGCCAAUGGCGGAACCGUUGUUAGACAAACAUGGAUGGUUGCUCAGAGUUAUGGGCUCAACAUCUGAGUUCACGCGGAGCAGAGAUGUCUCUUGAAAGUGCAUCUACUCCCCUAAUUUAUUUUAGUGAUUAAUGAUAAUCAAAUAAUGAUGUCUAAUGAGUUUGUGAGAAUGUGAAGGUAUAUCUAGUCCUCAUGAGAGAACUUGUUGCGCCAACCACGUUACAA
RNAcentral lists this long non-coding RNA (305 nucleotides) under Oryza brachyantha (malo sina). RNAcentral describes it as "long non-coding RNA (OBRA_LNC002306)". The record is from RNAcentral. Lineage: Eukaryota; Viridiplantae; Streptophyta; Magnoliopsida; Poales; Poaceae.